GCUGGGUAGACCUGUUUGUUUUCGGUCGGGUGAGUUUAUAAAAAUCCAGAGGAAAAUUGCAUUUUUUGGAGCACCUUGAGGAGAAAUGUGAAUACACAUAUUUGUUUGUAUUUGUAGUAUUAUGUAAGCGUAUUAUAUCGCAAAUCCGGCGGAGAUGUUGGGGGAGAAUUUACUUUGCGAAGGGUUCUUUGAUAAGUGCUCAAAAACCCAUCCCCGGAAUCAGGCCUGAUACCGGGAGAAGACGUUUCGACUUACUGAACCUAUGUAGGGCUCAGGGGUACAGAUUGGCCAUGCGAUGGUGACGAAAUGGUGACUCUCUUCCGAACGCCAGG
This is a long non-coding RNA of Gadus morhua (Atlantic cod), 332 nucleotides long. RefSeq lists it as uncharacterized. The transcript has 3 exons. NCBI's taxonomy places the organism in Eukaryota, Metazoa, Chordata, Actinopteri, Gadiformes, Gadidae. The record is from RefSeq and is a predicted model, not a curated record.